Zonotrichia albicollis (white-throated sparrow) is the source of this 6275-nucleotide non-coding RNA. The record is from RefSeq and is a predicted model, not a curated record. Lineage: Eukaryota; Metazoa; Chordata; Aves; Passeriformes; Passerellidae.
UCAGGCUGUGAUCUCAUUCCUACCAGUGCUGGGGAUAGGAGUCCCAGGGGCUUCACUGCAAAUUAGAUCCCCUGGAAAGAGACAGAGAGCCAGAACGGAUCCGACCUUGCUGCCGUUCCUGGGAGCGAACUCCUAUUCUUCCGUGCCCUCCCUGCCUUGCCUCUGACAACUUUUCCAAGUCAAGAAGAAAUUGGCCAGCAGCUGAAUAAAAGAAAAUGAAGUUCCCUUAAUACAAUCCAUGGAAAGACAACUCAGGUGAAGAAGAUGUGGAAAAUAGACCAUACAUGGAAAUCUGUGAAUCCUAUGCUGGCAUCUGCAUAAAGGAUCAUUUUCUGGGCGGGCCUGUUACAUCAUUUCCAUGAUCUGCUCUCACUUUCCACUGCAAUGGCUGCAUGGGAAAUGCAUCUGCUUCUACAACUGAGCUUUAAAGAGCACAAGUCCUCUUCUGCUACAAGGAACCUGUAAAGAGCAACAGCAAUUAAGGAGGGAGGAAAGAAGCUGAAACAGUAAUUCCAAAUGGUUUUCUCCUCAGGACUUCUGGAUCCCACCACUGACUUUCCAGCAGCCAGGCCAAGGCAGGUGAAUCCCUCUGUGCCCUGGUUUAUCCAUCUGUAACAUAAACAUGGUCAGCUUUACCUGCUCCACCACUUUGUCACGUGGUGCACCCAAGAAAUAUCUGUGAAUUGCUGUAAGAUUCUGAGACCAAGGGAAGGCUGGAAGUGCCAAGUGUUGUUGUUGUUAUUGUAUUAACAAUGUUGGCUGUUUUCACUGUUCAUAUGGUAGCCUGGCUGGAAUUGGGCAGGAAGCCCAAUAAUACCAACAACCAACAAGAAACUAAAAUAAAAUGUUUUACUUAAUGAGAGCCUCUGUUUAAUCAGAAGCCUGUGUAAUUAUGUCACAGAGGGCUAAGGAUCUAAUGUUUUCCUAAUACAUUUGCUUUUAAAGGGACGAUUAACCCAGCAUAUUUCAAGAUGAUAAGCUGCUUCUUUGUUCAGUUCCAGUUAUUUUUUUUUCUGCAUUCCCUGGUGAGUCCAGAGAGAACCUGAGAGUCAGAGGAUUUUUCUUAAUUGCGCCAUAACUAUCUUGUAUGUCUGAUGCUGGAGCAUUUUCUAAAGACACAGGUUAUUAGUCCUGGGUUGGAUGGGUUUGCAAGAGAAUUCAGAUGCUGAAUUUAUUCUGGUUUGGCUCCUCUGAGGCAUGGCAUACAUUACAGAAAGCCCUCAGUAUUCCUGCCUAAAACAGUCAAUAUUCUUAGCAAGCAAUUUGAUCAGGAAGAAGGAAUAAAAUUAUACCUUACCUUGAAACAAGUAAAUCUUGAUUUAAGCAUUAAAGAUUGGUUUUGGCUUACUUUUAAGUGUUAUGUUUCUGCACACAUUUUGCAAGAUUUGUGCACAUGUCUGUCAAGUCGGUUCUUUUCAUAUGUUUUGAGGAGAAUAACUAACAAAAAGCUCUUCAUUUCCUAAGGACCACUGUCUUAGGAGAUGAUAAACAUCAGCCCAUAUUGAGAUUGCAGGAAACACAUUUAUGCUGCAUGAGAUGGAGGAAAGGUCGCUGCCAUAUAUGUGAGGUUCUCUGAUUUACCUCUCUGUUCAUAGGUUGGAUAAAACAUAUUUACAUUUUGUCCAGACCUUAGAGAUGUUUGAUCAGUUCUGUUCUCAAAGAUCUGACUGUAAAAGAUCUCAUGGGCCCUCUGGGGAAUUUAUCCCAAGUUUUUGCCAGGAAGGACAUUUGCUAAUAUCCAAGGAGGCUCUUCCAGGACAAGUCCUGGUUUGCCACAGGGAGGAUGGAAGACUCCCCAUUGGCUUCCCCUUUCUUUUGUGAGUAGCCACAAACAUCAACCUUGUGUUUACAGUGUGGUGACAUUUAGUGGGUCUUUGUACAAACUCUUUUACAGUGUGGUUUGGGUUUGUGUUUAGAUGUGAGAAUGGUGAGGAUGGGGUACCUUUUCCAUGUAGUGUGGUAGUCCUACAUAUUCCUUGAUUGCUGCAAGUUGCUUUAAAAAGGGGAAAAAAUGGAAGCAAAAGAAAGGUGUCUCCUUUUAUAUCAGCUAUUGGCCACACGGGACUUUGGUAGGAAGGAAAGAGUUAAUAAUAUUCUUAUCAGGUCAGCAACUUUGAAAGGCUCUUCCACUUUGAAAACCAUUUUCUUAAUUAUUUUAAGUUAACACUUAAAUGCAUAGAAAAAAAUCACGUGUAAUCUGAAACCCCAGACUUGGGGACAGGACUGGAUUGAGAUAACAUUAAAGAUUUUAUUGCUGUUACAUUAUAAAUUAUUUCUAUUAUGAUGGCCCUAUGGGUAUUACAUUCUGUCAGUUCGCUUUCACUGUUACAUCACUUAAUGUUAUUAACACACUUUAGGGUAUAACAUUACAGUUUUAUUGUGGAAAUCUUAAACACUUACAUCCAAAGUACUGAAUCAAGUUAUUAUCCUAGCUGACCAGAUCUGGUCUAUUAUCAUUUUAUCACUCAUAAAAACCUGUGAUUCAAUUUGAUUUAACACUUGAGGAAAAAUCAUGGCUCAUAUAUGCUUAAACCUAGUUGCAAUAUUAAUACAAAGCAACACAUGGAUGACUUCAUUUUAUUAAAGUUGAGGUAGCCCUGGGAACCGCAUUUAUGAUUUUAUGCCACAUGAGAAAUUUGAUCUGACCUGUUGCCAUUUGUGAUUCUCCAGUAAACUGAUAAGGUUUUCUCACCAGUAUAUUAAAGAAUUGUGAACGUUUUACCUUUCUUACUGCAUUCAUUAGACACUCAGAAACCAUAAAUUUAUCAUAAUGUUCUAACCAUGGAAAAAGGUGCUCUCCCUGUCUUGGAGUCCUGCCUUGUAGAUUGGUAAAUGUUGCCCCUUGGAAAGCAAACUGAGAUUAAUAUUAGAGCAAAAUAAGUCCUUUAUUUCUGUGCUUACAGUGUAAACACUUUUCUGUGCAAGACAACUCUGUGUAGUCCAACAAAGCUCUUUUACCCUUGCACAACAUUCGGAGGGAGAAGUUGAUCUACUGAAGUCACCGGUUGAACAUCGAUUUUGGUUUGUUGGCUUUGUUUGCUGCCACUCCCUGAAAUAUUUAAUAUCUUGCUCAGGUUAUCUGUUAUGUCCUUUGAGGAGAAGACCCAAGGACCAUGUGUGAAAUUCAAAAUGUCAAAACGAAACGUUUCAUAUGUUCCACUUCAGGGGAAGGGAGCAGACGAGGCAGUGCCAGCGUGGAAGAGCAGAGUGCUGAAUGACCUCAGCAAGGAGUUGUGCUGCUGCAGCCCCGUUCCCAGCAGAGCCAGGGGAAGGGCUUUGCACAUCCAGGAGUUCACGGGUGCAGUGACACUCCCGGGCACGAGGGUGGAUGUGCUGAACCCACCGGCCCCGCUCUGUGCCAUGCGCGCAAAAUCACCCUGGCAACAGGGCUGACAGCUUGGGAACAGCAGCUGCUGCUUAAUGAAAAACAUUAGAAAAAUAACUCAUUCUACAUCUCUGUCCUCUCUCUGUCUUCUCCUGUUUAUCACCAAAAAAAAAAAAAAGUGUUCUGUAGCCACCACCCAGAACUUUAAAAACCCUCAAGGUGUGAGGGUCGGACGCACAGGUGUGCAGGCAGAGGUGAGUUUCAAAAGCCAAAAAUAAAGUGACUGUUUAAUUCCAACUCACACAUUUUUUUUCUUAAGCCACAGCUAAAUUGCUUGCCACUGAGCAAGUGGGCCUAUGUGCAUCUUGUGGGAGCACUGGGAAUCUGCAGUUAUUUAUUCUUGCAUCAAACAUGCAACAAACAAGCAGCAAUGAGGCCAAAUGUGUGCUAAAUUCCAAAUCAGCAUUUUUGGUUAUUGCUGCUUGAAGUAUCUCUGUUUCUGCUCAGAGCUGGGCUCACUGGAAAGAAGUAGCUCAACAAAAGCAAACAACUGUCUCUGGUAAAAUCUUCCCCUUUAUAUUUUUUAAUAAUAACAAGUACUGAUUUCUCUUUUUUUUCUUCUGCUGGAAAUGUUCUGGAAAAGUCCAAUAAAGACAACUGUGAGGCAGCUUUCCUGGGUAAAAACCAAACCAAAGUAAUGCUACAUCACCAUGUGAAAUAACAAAUUAGGUGGAGAGACAUUAACUAGUGUCAUUCAUCAGCCUGAAGUGAUACAAUUUAUUACAGGAUAAUAAUGGCCAUAGUUGCAUAGGUAGUAAAGGUAAAAUUACAUCAUGACUUGCAUUAGCAGUAUGAGAUUAUAUCCUGAUUAAUGCACAAUUAACUUGUCAUGGGUACAACACAUGUGUUUGUAGAUGGCCAGAUGGGUUACACCACAUCUCACACUCACAUGGGCAGCAUUUAUCACUUUCUCCUUAUCUCCAGAAAUAAGGUGGCUGCAUCCCCUACAAUCCUCAGCCCCCUCACUGCCUUGGUGCAGAGCUGUCUAACAUCAGGGUAUGAGCAAGAAACCCUUGGAGAUGACCCAUGGAAAUCUCAAACAGCUGCAUGAACGCUGCUUCUUUCUGCAGAUGGAGACCUCGUCCAAGGAAAUUCCAAGGAAAUUCCCCAAGGUGAGAGCACCAACCUGAGCAGCCCCUCUGCUGGCAGGACCACUCAUCUGGGCUGCUCCCAGAGCUGGGGAUCACUCUGAGCUGAGAAAGCCCCCAACACCCUAAAGCACUCUGGAUGAGGAAUCCCUUCUCUCUUUUAUCCUCAUUUUGUGGAGGAAAUAAUUCAGCUACAAGAACAGCUGAGAAGGAUUUUUACUUUUAGUUGCAAGUAUUGGUGGAGGUGCUUCAACUUCACCUGAACUGCUCUGUGGGUGCAGAACUGGGUUACUUGUCCAUGUGCUGACAUGCAGGCUUGCUUUUUCAUGCUCUCCCUCCUUCUGUUGUGUUUUUUCUGCUGUGUGGCUGCAGGUCUGGCUGUGUGCAAACAUGAAUAAAGCAGCAAGGUGGCGGAAGGGAGACAAAGGGCCCCCAAGUUUUAAUCUCUGUUCCAUCACAAACUCAGUGUUUGUCCUUGAGAAACUCAUUGUAAUUUCUCUUACCAGAUUCCUCAGUCUGAAGGGGGAGGGAUAUUACAUUUUUAGGCCAGCCUACCUCACACUGUGUGUGAUAUUUCAAUUAGCUGUUUGAAGUUGUAAAUUGCUGAGUGAUGGCAGAACAGAACUUCUCAAAAUAAAUGGCAUCAGGUUUUUCUCUUUUUUUGCACACAUUUUUAGUAGUGGAGUCUACUGGAAAGGACUAUCUCACUUUGAUCCUUCCUGUACUUUAUUUUUAUGUUUGAUGGUACUCCCCAGUUCCAACACCAAAUGAUGGUCAUUUUCCAGCAUUUCCAAUUUAGAAGCAAAAUCUUAUACAAUAAGGAAAUAAAUCUAAUUUUGUUGCCAUGAAAUGUCUUUUCCAGCUGACAGUACUGAGCACUUGGAUGUGGGGCACCCAGCAGUGGGGAACAUGCAGAUUCUGAGUCCCAGGUGAGCGCAUCCUUAGUGUUCAAAAGAAAAAGGGAACCAUGUUAUGUUUGGGUUCAACUGUUAGAAUAUUAUAAAGUUCUUUAGAAUUACUUUAGAAGUUCUUUAGAAUUAGUUCUGUUGAAUGGAAUUUAGCAAAAAAAUUCCUAGCACACAUGCUUGUAUCAAACAGUUCCAGGACAGACAGUGCCAUUCAUCAUUUCCACCCCUGAUAUUUUUGAUUCUGGGAUGAUUAGCUCAGGAUCAUUUUAGAUGGUACUUCUCCUGUCUAGAGUACACACUUCACUCUGUAAUGUGCUAGGCAUCUAUUUUUGUUAUUAGCAAUUCACUUUAUUAUGCCCUGGUCUCCAUUUUCAGUGCAGUCUGGGAGAUGCCAUUGAUGAUGCUACAGAAAGGCAGCCCAGGCUUCAUUUACACAAGUAAAAAUGAAAAGUGACAUCAGCAUCUAUUGGAGCUGUAGGUUCUGAUAUAACAACAUUCAAAUAAGUUUUUACAACAGCAUUAAGUCUGUGUUUGAGUGCACCCUAGGUCUUAGACUAGCCUAGGAGAGAACAGAAUCUGGUGUUCUCCCUUUGACAUGUAGCAAAAAAACUCAUGUAUUAUUAAAAAUAAAAUUAUUCUCUUUCUUCAGGAGUGGUUUGUGUAUCUCUUGAAGUACUUCAGGAUGACAGAAGAGAGAGUUUCAAUUGCACCAGCUGAAAUAACUGACUUGCUCUUCAGUUGGAAAAGUGAAUUUAAGAUUCAAUGAUCACUGCUUACAAUGUCCAUUGGCAAAGACAGGAGGAAAACAUAAUUUCCUUUGUUAGCAAUCUCACUGGUAAAAGGAAAUGUCAAGCCUGAAAAUGUAAAUAGAGUAGACUUGGGGCAUGUUGAGAA